RNAcentral lists this ribosomal RNA (254 nucleotides) under uncultured bacterium. Its description in RNAcentral is "partial 16S ribosomal RNA". It matches the Rfam family "Bacterial small subunit ribosomal RNA", at positions 524 to 776 of the family's 1533-position model. The record is from RNAcentral.
UACAGAGGUCUCAAGCGUUGUUCGGAUUCAUUGGGCGUAAAGGGUGCGUGAGGUGGCCAGGUAAGUCGGAUGUGAAAUCCCGGGGCUCAACCCCGGAACUGCAUUCGAUACUGCCCGGCUUGAGUACUGGAGAGGAGAUUGGAAUUUACGGUGUAGCAGUGAAAUGCGUAGAUAUCGUAAGGAAGACCAGUGGCGAAGGCGGAUCUCUGGACAGUUACUGACACUGAGGCACGAAGGCCAGGGGAGCAAACGGG